RNAcentral lists this ribosomal RNA (253 nucleotides) under uncultured bacterium. Its description in RNAcentral is "partial 16S ribosomal RNA". It matches the Rfam family "Bacterial small subunit ribosomal RNA", at positions 524 to 776 of the family's 1533-position model. The record is from RNAcentral.
UACAGAGGUCCCAAGCGUUGUUCGGAUUCACUGGGCGUAAAGGGUGCGUAGGCGGUCGGGUAAGUCUGAUGUGAAAUCUCACAGCUUAACUGUGAAACUGCAUUGGAUACUAUCCGGCUCGAGGAAUGGAGGGGAGACUGGAAUACUUGGUGUAGCAGUGAAAUGCGUAGAUAUCAAGUGGAACACCAGUGGCGAAGGCGAGUCUCUGGACAGUUCCUGACGCUGAGGCACGAAGGCCAGGGGAGCAAACGGG